RNAcentral lists this ribosomal RNA (548 nucleotides) under denitrifying bacterium X(A2). Its description in RNAcentral is "bacterial SSU rRNA". It matches the Rfam family "Bacterial small subunit ribosomal RNA", at positions 353 to 906 of the family's 1533-position model. The record is from RNAcentral.
AGUGGGGAAUAUUGCACAAUGGGCGAAAGCCUGAUGCAGCGACGCCGCGUGAGGGAUGACGGCCUUCGGGUUGUAAACCUCUUUCAGCAGGGAAGAAGCGAGAGUGACGGUACCUGCAGAAGAAGCGCCGGCUAACUACGUGCCAGCAGCCGCGGUAAUACGUAGGGCGCAAGCGUUGUCCGGAAUUAUUGGGCGUAAAGAGCUCGUAGGCGGCUUGUCACGUCGGGUGUGAAAGCCCGGGGCUUAACCCCGGGUCUGCAUUCGAUACGGGCAGGCUAGAGUGUGGUAGGGGAGAUCGGAAUUCCUGGUGUAGCGGUGAAAUGCGCAGAUAUCAGGAGGAACACCGGUGGCGAAGGCGGAUCUCUGGGCCAUUACUGACGCUUGAGGAGCGAAAGCGUGGGGAGCGAACAGGAUUAGAUACCCUGGUAGUCCACGCCGUAAACGGUGGGAACUAGGUGUUGGCGACAUUCCACGUCGUCGGUGCCCGCAGCUAACGCAUUAAAGUUCCCCGCCUGGGGAGUACGGCCCGCAAGGCUUAAAACUCAAAG